CAAUAGCGUAUAUUAAAGUUGUUGCAGUUAAAAAGCUCGUAGUUGGACCUUGGACCUGGACAGGCGGUCCGCCUCACGGCGUGUACUGUCUUGCUGGGUCUUUCCUCUUGGUGAUCUGUUGUUUCGGCAGCAGGGAACCAGGACUUUUACUUUGAAAAAAUUAGAGUGUUCAAAGCAGGCUCGACGCCGGAAUAUAUUAGCAUGGAAUAAUAAAAUAGGACGUGCGGUUCUAUUUUGUUGGUUUUUGGAAUCGCCGUAAUGAUUAAUAGGGACAGUCGGGGGCAUUAGUACUCACAUGCUAGAGGUGAAAUUCUUGGAUUUUGUGAAGACUAACUUCUGCGAAAGCAUUUGCCAAGGAUGGUUUCAUUAA
Molecule: ribosomal RNA, 370 nt
Filed under: uncultured eukaryote
Lineage: Eukaryota
Description: partial 18S ribosomal RNA
Rfam family: Eukaryotic small subunit ribosomal RNA
Source: RNAcentral